AAGGGAGGAAACUCUGAACCAGCCAUCCCGCGUGAAGGAUGAAGGGCCUCUGCCUUGUAAACUUCUUUUGUCUGGGGCGAAAAAGCUCGAUUUAUCGAGAACUGACGGUACCAGAAGAAUAAGCACCGGCUAACUCCGUGCCAGCAGCCGCGGUAAUACGGAGGGUGCAAGCGUUAUCCGGAAUCACUGGGUUUAAAGGGUGCGUAGGUGGGUUGGUAAGUCAGUGGUGACAUCCCCGAGCUUAACUUGGGAACAGCCAUUGAUACUAUCAGUCUUGAAUACCGUGGAGGUCAGCGGAAUAUGUCAUGUAGCGGUGAAAUGCUUAGAUAUGACAUAGAACACCAAUUGCGAAGGCAGCCGGCUACCCGAAUAUUGACACUGAGGCACGAAAGCGUGGGGAUCAAA
Molecule: ribosomal RNA, 405 nt
Filed under: uncultured bacterium
Lineage: Bacteria
Description: bacterial SSU rRNA
Rfam family: Bacterial small subunit ribosomal RNA
Source: RNAcentral